GCGAGUGAAGCGGCAACAGCUCAAAUUUGAAAGCUAGCCUUCGGGUUCGCAUUGUAAUUUGUAGAGGAUGAUUUGGGGAAGCCGCCUGUCUAAGUUCCUUGGAACAGGACGUCAUAGAGGGUGAGAAUCCCGUAUGUGACAGGAAAUGGCACCCUAUGUAAAUCUCCUUCGACGAGUCGAGUUGUUUGGGAAUGCAGCUCUAAAUGGGAGGUAAAUUUCUUCUAAAGCUAAAUAUUGGCGAGAGACCGAUAGCGCACAAGUAGAGUGAUCGAAAGAUGAAAAGCACUUUGGAAAGAGAGUUAAAAAGCACGUGAAAUUGUUGAAAGGGAAGCGCUUGCAAUCAGACUUGUUUAAACUGUUCGGCCGGUCUUCUGACCGGUUUACUCAGUUUGGACAGGCCAGCAUCAGUUUCGGCGGCCGGAUAAAGGCUCUGGGAAUGUGGCCUCCACUUCGGUGGAGGUGUUAUAGCCCAGGGUGUAAUACGGCCAGCCGGGACUGAGGUCCGCGCUUCGGCUAGGAUGCUGGCGUAAUGGUUGUAAGCGACCC
This 546-nucleotide ribosomal RNA is filed under the name Aureobasidium pullulans. RNAcentral's name for it is "eukaryotic LSU rRNA". It matches the Rfam family "Eukaryotic large subunit ribosomal RNA", at positions 89 to 650 of the family's 3401-position model. Lineage: Eukaryota; Fungi; Ascomycota; Dothideomycetes; Dothideales; Saccotheciaceae. The record is from RNAcentral.